This 846-nucleotide ribosomal RNA is filed under the name bacterium CBIC19I2. Its description in RNAcentral is "bacterial SSU rRNA". It matches the Rfam family "Bacterial small subunit ribosomal RNA", at positions 31 to 865 of the family's 1533-position model. The record is from RNAcentral.
AAGAGCUGCGCGGCUAUACUGCAGUCGAGCGGAUCUUCAUUAGCUUGCUUUUGAAGAUCAGCGGCGGACGGGUGAGUAACACGUGGGCAACCUGCCUGUAAGACUGGGAUAACUUCGGGAAACCGGAGCUAAUACCGGAUAAUCCUUUCCCUCACAUGAGGGAAAGCUGAAAGACGGUUUCGGCUGUCACUUACAGAUGGGCCCGCGGCGCAUUAGCUAGUUGGUGAGGUAACGGCUCACCAAGGCCACGAUGCGUAGCCGACCUGAGAGGGUGAUCGGCCACACUGGGACUGAGACACGGCCCAGACUCCUACGGGAGGCAGCAGUAGGGAAUCUUCCGCAAUGGACGAAAGUCUGACGGAGCAACGCCGCGUGAACGAUGAAGGCUUUCGGGUCGUAAAGUUCUGUUGUCAGGGAAGAACAAGUACCGGAGUAACUGCCGGUACCUUGACGGUACCUGACCAGAAAGCCACGGCUAACUACGUGCCAGCAGCCGCGGUAAUACGUAGGUGGCAAGCGUUGUCCGGAAUUAUUGGGCGUAAAGCGCGCGCAGGCGGUUCCUUAAGUCUGAUGUGAAAGCCCCCGGCUCAACCGGGGAGGGUCAUUGGAAACUGGGGAACUUGAGUGCAGAAGAGGAGAGCGGAAUUCCACGUGUAGCGGUGAAAUGCGUAGAGAUGUGGAGGAACACCAGUGGCGAAGGCGGCUCUCUGGUCUGUAACUGACGCUGAGGCGCGAAAGCGUGGGGAGCGAACAGGAUUAGAUACCCUGGUAGUCCACGCCGUANACGAUGAGUGCUAAGUGUUAGAAGGUUUCCCGCCCUUUAGUGCUGCAGCAAACGCAUUAAGC